Molecule: long non-coding RNA, 1050 nt
Organism: Dreissena polymorpha
Lineage: Eukaryota; Metazoa; Mollusca; Bivalvia; Myida; Dreissenidae
Exons: 3
Source: RefSeq, a predicted model, not a curated record
AUGAAGUAUUGUGUGAUGAAAACAACGUGUAUUUACUACAAUGUGUAAAUCAACAAUAUGUUUGAUGCAAAGGAGAUUCAAAGUGGGUGGUUAAAGUGAGAUGGUCUAGUUCAAAACUGCUUGUAUUUUUGGAAUACUGAAGAACAGUCUGUUGUAACAGGUUAAACCCAUGGUGAAAUUUUCAUUUAUCGGAAGAUUCUUUGGAAAGAAUGUGCAUCAUCGCAUCGCCUGCCAAAAAAGGGAGCAAAAGGGAGACUACCUGAUGUAUUGACUUGAAUACCAGGUUUUACCCUGCACGAGCUGGCCAACGUGAGGAGAACAGAAGUGGGAAAACCGCGCCCUGUCCUUGACCAAGAAAAGGAUUUGUUUAGUGGUAAAACUAUACAGGGUACUGGUUAUUGCAUUUUAAAGGUGUCACACUUCUGACCAGUCCACACAGCCAAAUGAGACCACGUAUCUUGGACCUGAUCAAAUGAGAUCAUGCACGAGACGCAACGCGCAAAGGUCAUGACAGUAUAAUAGUUGCAAAGAAGUUUGACCGGCUGGUGGCAGACGUGGAGAGAAAGAUGAGAGCCGCACUCCGCCGCCUCAAAAAAAUGACAGGCCUUAAUUGAUUCUCAUUAUUCUUAUGUAUAUAGAUGUUCCGGUGCAUAUACUGUACAUGUUAUUAUUAGUAUGCUAUUAUUUUUUGCUUAUUUAUAAUCUAAUUAUGUUAAUAUUUAUUUCAUCAAAUUAUCAUUGAUAUUUAAUUACUUAUGUAUGUUAACAAAUGUUGGUGUACAUUUAAGUAUAAAAUUGAAUUAUCUUGUAAUUAUUUAAAAUAUACAAAUAUAUUUGUAUAUAAUUAUUGGUUUUAAUUGCGUAUCUGAAUUAAAAAAACAAACUUUUAACAGCAUAUAAUUAAAUCAACUGUUAAGGCAAAAGAUGCACCUUUAACGCACAUGUGUGCUUUUUGUGAGUGCGAUUUUGAGUGCCAUUUAUGUGCGUAAAUUGUGCGCUUUUAUGUGGUUUAAAACUGCGCUUUUAACCGAGUCAAAUGUGCGCUUUUUA